RNAcentral lists this ribosomal RNA (1651 nucleotides) under Gymnochthebius sp. NLG-2014. Its description in RNAcentral is "partial 16S ribosomal RNA". Lineage: Eukaryota; Metazoa; Arthropoda; Insecta; Coleoptera; Hydraenidae. The record is from RNAcentral.
UUAGUAUUAGAUAUGAUCUUGAAAUUUAAAAAAUUUGGCGGUAUUUUAGUCUUUUCAGAGGAACCUGUUCUAUAAUCGAUAGUCCACGAUAUUUAAUACUUUUUUAAUUAGUUUGUAUAUCGUCGUAGUUUGAAUAUUUUAAAAGAAUUUUAAUAUUGAAAAUUUUUUAUAAUAAAAUAAAUCAGAUCAAGGUAUAGCUUAUAAAAAAGAAGAAAUGGGUUACAAUAAUUAUAAUUAUUAAGGAUAAUAAAUAAAAUAGAUUUAUUUGAAUGUGGAUUUGAAAGUAAUAUAAUUUAUUUUAAUUAUAUGAUUUUAGCUCUAAAAUAUGCACAUAUCGCCGGUGGUUUUCAUAUAAAGUGAGAUAGUUCGUACCAAUGUGAUGUACCGGAAAGUGGAUCUAGAUGACCAAAUUAGAGGCUGGAUAAAGCAUUUUAGUUACAUUAAAAAGAUAAUUGUUUAUUCAAUUUAAUUUGAAUUUAAAAAAUUAUUAUAAUUAUUUUUUAAUAAAAUAUUAUUAAAUUUAGUAUUAAAUAAGAAAAAAUUAAAUUUAUUAUAGAUAAUAGUAUAGUAAUAGAAAUUUUAAUAAUAUUAAAUUUUUAAAAGAAAAACUUAUUUUUUGUACCUUGUGUAUCAGGGAUUAUUAAAAAUAAUUUUAAAUAUUUUAAAUUUCUCGAUUUUAAAAGAGUUAAUAGUUUAUAUAUUUUAUUGUAUUAUAAAUAUUUAUAAUAAAUUAUUAGUAAUGAAAUGUUAUUCGUUUUUAAAUAUAUCUAGUUUUUUAAGAAAUAAAUUAAAUUUAAUUAUUAAUAGAAAUCUAUAUAAUUAAAAAUUAGGAUUUUAUUAAUAUUAUAUAUUUUAAGGGAUAAGCUUUAAAAUUUAUUUAUAUAAAAUAUUUAAUUUUAAAUAAAAGUAGAAUUAAAAAUUUUUAUCAUUUAUAAUUUGUUAUAAUUAAUUUUUUGUUUAAUAUUAUUUAUAAAAUUUUUAUAUUUUUUAUUAAAAUUAUUUAUUUAAUUUGAAAAUAAAUGUAAUAAUGAUAAUAUUAGUAUAAUUUUAUGUUAAAAUUUAUUUAAAUAGAAAGGUUAAAUAAAGGAAUUCGGCAAAAUAAUUUUUCGCCUGUUUAUUAAAAACAUGUCUUUUUGAUAAUAAUUUAAAGUCUAACCUGCCCAAUGAUAAUUUAAUGGCCGCAGUAUUUUGACUGUGCAAAGGUAGCAUAAUCAUUAGUUUUUUAAUUGAAAGCUGGAAUGAAUGGUUGAACGAAAAAAUUUCUGUCUCUAUUUAAUUUAAUUAGAAUUUUAUUUUUAAGUUAAAAAGCUUAAAUAAUUUUAAAAGACGAGAAGACCCUAUAGAGUUUUAUAUUUUAAAUUUUAAAUAUUUUAGAAAUUUUAUUAAAAUUAUAAUAUUUAAUUGGGGUGAUUAAUAAAUUUAAAAAACUUUAUUUAUAUAUAGUCAUUAAUAAAUGAAUAAAUGAUCCAAUAAUUUUGAUUAUAAGAUUAAAUUACCUUAGGGAUAACAGCGUAAUUUUUUUAGAGAGUUCUUAUCGAAAAAAAAGAUUGCGACCUCGAUGUUGGAUUAAAGUUAAUUUUAGGUGUAGAAGCUUAAAAAUUUAGUCUGUUCGACUAUUAAAACUUUACAUGAUCUGAGUUCAAACCGGAGA